GUGGGGAAUCUUCCGCAAUGGACGAAAGUCUGACGGAGCAACGCCGCGUGAGUGAAGAAGGUUUUCGGAUCGUAAAGCUCUUUCGUUAGGGACGAACGUGCUCUUUGUGAAUAAUGAGGAGUAAUGACGGUACCUAAAUAAGAAGCCACGGCUAACUACGUGCCAGCAGCCGCGGUAAUACGUAGGUGGCAAGCGUUGUCCGGAAUUAUUGGGCGUAAAGCGCGCGCAGGCGGGAUAUCAAGUCUGUCUUAAAAGUGCGAGGCUCAACCUCGUGAGGGGACAGAAACUGGUAUUCUUGGGUGUCGGAGAGGAAAGUGGAAUUCCAAGUGUAGCGGUGAAAUGCGUAGAUAUUAGGAGGAACACCAGUGGCGAAGGCGACUUUCUGGACUGUAACUGACGCUGAGGCUCGAAAGCCAGGGGAGCGAACGGGAUUAGAAACCCGAGUAGUCC
RNAcentral lists this ribosomal RNA (450 nucleotides) under uncultured bacterium. RNAcentral describes it as "partial 16S ribosomal RNA". It matches the Rfam family "Bacterial small subunit ribosomal RNA", at positions 354 to 796 of the family's 1533-position model. The record is from RNAcentral.